Molecule: ribosomal RNA, 632 nt
Filed under: uncultured bacterium
Lineage: Bacteria
Description: bacterial SSU rRNA
Rfam family: Bacterial small subunit ribosomal RNA
Source: RNAcentral
GGUAGACGAUGGGGAUGCGUUCCAUUAGAUAGUAGGCGGGGUAACGGCCCACCUAGUCUUCGAUGGAUAGGGGUUCUGAGAGGAAGGUCCCCCACAUUGGAACUGAGACACGGUCCAAACUCCUACGGGAGGCAGCAGUGAGGAAUAUUGGUCAAUGGGCGCAGGCCUGAACCAGCCAAGUAGCGUGAAGGAUGACUGCCCUAUGGGUUGUAAACUUCUUUUAUAAAGGAAUAAAGUCGGGUAUGGAUACCCGUUUGCAUGUACUUUAUGAAUAAGGAUCGGCUAACUCCGUGCCAGCAGCCGCGGUAAUACGGAGGAUCCGAGCGUUAUCCGGAUUUAUUGGGUUUAAAGGGAGCGUAGAUGGAUGUUUAAGUCAGUUGUGAAAGUUUGCGGCUCAACCGUAAAAUUGCAGUUGAUACUGGAUAUCUUGAGUGCAGUUGAGGCAGGCGGAAUUCGUGGUGUAGCGGUGAAAUGCUUAGAUAUCACGAAGAACUCCGAUUGCGAAGGCAGCCUGCUAAGCUGCAACUGACAUUGAGGCUCGAAAGUGUGGGUAUCAAACAGGAUUAGAUACCCUGGUAGUCCACACGGUAAACGAUGAAUACUCGCUGUUUGCGAUAUACGGCAAGCGGCCA